GCGGGUGUAGUUCAAUGGUAGAACGUCAGCCUUCCAAGCUGAAUAUGCCGGUUCGAUCCCGGUCACCCGCUCCA
RNAcentral lists this transfer RNA (74 nucleotides) under Alphaproteobacteria bacterium. RNAcentral's name for it is "tRNA-Gly". It matches the Rfam family "tRNA". From Rfam's summary of the family: Transfer RNA (tRNA) molecules are approximately 80 nucleotides in length. Their secondary structure includes four short double-helical elements and three loops (D, anti-codon, and T loops). RNAcentral also lists the same sequence under 3 other names. Lineage: Bacteria; Pseudomonadati; Pseudomonadota; Alphaproteobacteria. The record is from RNAcentral.